CCUACGGGCGGCUGCAGUGAGGAAUAUAGGUCAAUGGACGAGAGUCUGAACCAGCCAAGUAGCGUGAAGGAUGACUGCCCUAUGGGUUGUAAACUUCUUUUAUAUGGGAAUAAAAUGUUCCACGUGUGGGAUUUUGUAUGUACCAUAUGAAUAAGGAUCGGCUAACUCCGUGCCAGCAGCCGCGGUAAUACGGAGGAUCCGAGCGUUAUCCGGAUUUAUUGGGUUUAAAGGGAGCGUAGGUGGAUUGUUAAGUCAGUUGUGAAAGUUUGCGGCUCAACCGUAAAAUUGCAGUUGAAACUGGCAGUCUUGAGUACAGUAGAGGUGGGCGGAAUUCGUGGUGUAGCGGUGAAAUGCUUAGAUAUCACGAAGAACUCCGAUUGCGAAGGCAGUUCACUGGACUGCAACUGACACUGAGGCUCGAAAGUGUGGGUAUCAAACAGGAUUAGAUACCCGAGUAGUC
Molecule: ribosomal RNA, 460 nt
Filed under: uncultured bacterium
Lineage: Bacteria
Description: partial 16S ribosomal RNA
Rfam family: Bacterial small subunit ribosomal RNA
Source: RNAcentral